Molecule: non-coding RNA, 45 nt
Organism: Schistosoma mansoni
Lineage: Eukaryota; Metazoa; Platyhelminthes; Trematoda; Strigeidida; Schistosomatidae
Source: Rfam
AUCCAGUUGAUGAGUCCCAAAUAGGACGAAACGCGCGUUCUGGAU